UUCUCUCUAUACGUUGGUGUUCUAACCGAUAAUCACCAACACGAUAUUCUGUCCGAUCGAUUCGGAGACCAACGGACGAAUGCCAAAGGCUGUCUAAAUAAGACUAUACUUUAUGAAUUUCGUUAUGGUCCGGAUAUCGUGACUAUCGUUAGGUCUGAUUGAGUUAACACUAAUACGUAUUCCCCUCUGUUAAAAUCAAUGUUUAACUACCCCAAACUCUGCGCUAUACAAUCAAAAUAGAUGCUUAAUCAUCAGAAGAUACAGAACUACAAAGUAGAUGCUUAGAAUCAAGAUGCUUGUUUAAUUAAGACUAUAUGCUAACAAGGUAAUUACAGUAGAUUGGAACAAGAGUGAUGAUACGGCACCGAAAGGCUUAAAGAAGUGGCUUAUUUUAUCAAUUAAAUUAAAUUAAGAAAACCUGGUUUCAUAUAUUCGGGUUUAUCCCUUAUUAAAGCUACCUUUGUAGAACUUGGGUUUUAUACCAUCUAUUUAAUAAAUAAAAAUCCGGUGUUUUCUAAACUAUGAUAUUUUUUCUAACUCACGGUCCUGAUGAAAUUUCCGCUGCAAUACUUUUCAAAAUAACCACCGGACCACUUGACUGGUCGCGGCUCCCGUCCAGGGUGUGGUCGGGGGUCAUGACACUAUACAUCCUUAAGUUCAAGGGUUUUAUGGUAAUUAAAGAAAAGAGUGGCGGUUACAAAGUUGAGGGACUAUUUGUGACAAAUCAGAACUUGGUAACCACCACCCAAGGGUGGCGAAAUCCCUUGGGAGGCACCCCUUGGUCGAUUGGCACCCACAAGAAGGAAGUGACAUGACUUUUCAAUCAAAGGACACACCGCUUCAUGUUUAAUUUACUUCCACAUAUUCAAGAGACGCACCCGUUCGUGAAGAGAUGCGUCUAUUGGAUCGCACCCUUUAGAAACUAUAAAUAGGGAUAGAUUUCUCAUUUGUAAAUCACUCAUCAAUUGUAUUCUAUUGUAUUCAAACUCUCAUUUUAUAUAUUUCAAGUUAUUCGAUUGUCUA
Long non-coding RNA from Helianthus annuus (common sunflower), 1023 nucleotides. RefSeq lists it as uncharacterized. The transcript has 2 exons. The record is from RefSeq and is a predicted model, not a curated record. NCBI's taxonomy places the organism in Eukaryota, Viridiplantae, Streptophyta, Magnoliopsida, Asterales, Asteraceae.